AUCAUAUAAAACGACUCUCGACAACGGAUAUCUCGGCUCUCGCAUCGAUGAAGAACGUAGUGAAAUGCGAUACUUGGUGUGAAUUGCAGAAUCCCGUGAACCAUCGAGUUUUUGAACGCAAGUUGCGCCCGAAGCCUUCUGGCCGAGGGCACGUCUGCCUGGGCGUCA
This 168-nucleotide ribosomal RNA is filed under the name Begonia hatacoa. Its description in RNAcentral is "5.8S ribosomal RNA". It matches the Rfam family "5.8S ribosomal RNA". Rfam says of the family: 5.8S ribosomal RNA (5.8S rRNA) is a component of the large subunit of the eukaryotic ribosome. It is transcribed by RNA polymerase I as part of the 45S precursor that also contains 18S and 28S rRNA. The record is from RNAcentral. Lineage: Eukaryota; Viridiplantae; Streptophyta; Magnoliopsida; Cucurbitales; Begoniaceae.